GCUGACUCACUUCCCAGCCACUCGAGAUGCUGAUCUGCAUCUGUCGCUCCGUCUGUGCGAGUGCGCGCACAUCCCUCAGAUGCCUAAUUUUAAUUGUAAUGUCAGUAAUGUACAAUUGAUUGCUUAUUCUUGGAUUGCACCGACAUAAACAGCCAUAAACCACCGAAGCAACCAUUGCAAUAAAUCACAAAUAAACAUGGCUCUGCACACUGGAGACUCGUAAAAGAGGCUGCUAAGAGAGCAAAAUCCAACCAAAUGUGUGGCUCUGUGCUCGUUUCAGCCGCUGUUUGCGCACGUGUUUGUUUGCCACAAGCCACUGCCUGGUUGUCUGCAUGUUUGCAUUAUUGACUUACAUCAUCAACUUCAUCAAUAAUUAACUGCUUUAGCAGCAUUGCCACAGGCCGGCACUACUGCGAGCCACACACUCAACAUGUUUUCAUACUUGAUUUUCCCUUUUGCCCUUUGCCUGCAUUUAUUCUCUCUUCCAUCCUCCUCAUCCCUCCCUUUCUUACUUCCGUGACUCCUGAACAGUCUGAUUGGUGUGACGGAUCACCCAGGCUUUGGCAUGGAUGGAUGCAUGGGUCAAUAUCUAUCUAAAGAGGAUUGGAGCUCAAAUGAAGGCUAGGCUACCUGAGAAAGCAGCCAACGGAGAAGAUGCUCAAA
RNAcentral lists this long non-coding RNA (663 nucleotides) under Oreochromis niloticus (Nile tilapia). Its description in RNAcentral is "lncRNA (ENSONIG00000038352.1)". Lineage: Eukaryota; Metazoa; Chordata; Actinopteri; Cichliformes; Cichlidae. The record is from RNAcentral.